RNAcentral lists this ribosomal RNA (252 nucleotides) under uncultured Bacteroidales bacterium. Its description in RNAcentral is "partial 16S ribosomal RNA". It matches the Rfam family "Bacterial small subunit ribosomal RNA", at positions 524 to 776 of the family's 1533-position model. Lineage: Bacteria; Pseudomonadati; Bacteroidota; Bacteroidia; Bacteroidales. The record is from RNAcentral.
UACGUAGGUGGCAAGCGUUGUCCGGAAUUACUGGGUGUAAAGGGUGCGUAGGCGGACUGUCAAGUCAGCGGUAAAAUACGGGGGCUCAACCCCGCUCCGCCGUUGAAACUGUGUCCCUUGAGUGCGCGAAGGGUAGGCGGAAUGCGUGGUGUAGCGGUGAAAUGCAUAGAUAUCACGCAGAACUCCGAUCGCGAAGGCAGCCUACCGGCGCGCAACUGACGCUCAUGCACGAAAGCGUGGGUAUCGAACAGG